GGGGAAUAUUGUACAAUGGGGGAAACCCUGAUGCAGCGACGCCGCGUGGAGGAAGAAGGUCUUCGGAUUGUAAACUCCUGUUGUUGGGGAAGAUAAUGACGGUACCCAACAAGGAAGUGACGGCUAACUACGUGCCAGCAGCCGCGGUAAAACGUAGGUCACAAGCGUUGUCCGGAAUUACUGGGUGUAAAGGGAGCGCAGGCGGGAAGACAAGUUGGAAGUGAAAUCUAUGGGCUCAACCCAUAAACUGCUUUCAAAACUGUUUUUCUUGAGUAGUGCAGAGGUAGGCGGAAUUCCCGGUGUAGCGGUGGAAUGCGUAGAUAUCGGGAGGAACACCAGUGGCGAAGGCGGCCUACUGGGCACCAACUGACGCUGAGGCUCGAAAGUGUGGGUAGCAAACAGGAUUAGAUACCCUGGUAGUCCACACCGUAAACGAUGAUUACUAGGUGUUGGAGGAUUGACCCCUUCAGUGCCGCAGUUAACACAAUAAGUAAUCCACCUGGGGAGUACGACCGCAAGGUUGAAACUCAAAGGAAUUGACGGGGGCCCGCACAAGCAGUGGAGUAUGUGGUUUAAUUCGACGCAACGCGAAGAACCUUACCAAGUCUUGACAUCCCUUGACGAUGCUGGAAACAGCAUUUCUCUUCGGAGCAAGGAGACAGGUGGUGCAUGGUUGUCGUCAGCUCGUGUCGUGAGAUGUUGGGUUAAGUCCCGCAACGAGCGCAACCCUUAUGGUCAGUUACUACGCAAGAGGACUCUGGCUAGACUGCCGUUGACAAAACGGAGGAAGGUGGGGAUGACGUCAAAUCAUCAUGCCCUUUAUGACUUGGGCUACACACGUACUACAAUGGCGUUAAACAAAGAGAAGCAAGACCGCGAGGUGGAGCAAAACUCAGAAACAACGUCCCAGUUCGGACUGCAGGCUGCAACUCGCCUGCACGAAGUCGGAAUUGCUAGUAAUCGUGGAUCAGCAUGCCACGGUGAAUACGUUCCCG
RNAcentral lists this ribosomal RNA (995 nucleotides) under uncultured bacterium. Its description in RNAcentral is "bacterial SSU rRNA". It matches the Rfam family "Bacterial small subunit ribosomal RNA", at positions 356 to 1376 of the family's 1533-position model. The record is from RNAcentral.